This is a non-coding RNA of Cajanus cajan (pigeon pea), 1198 nucleotides long. Lineage: Eukaryota; Viridiplantae; Streptophyta; Magnoliopsida; Fabales; Fabaceae. The record is from RefSeq and is a predicted model, not a curated record.
AAAACCCUUUUGUAGUUUUGGUCAUUCUAAAAUGUUAUACUUCUAUUUUGACUUGAGUUUAAAUUUAAUUCCAUGGUUAUUCGUGUAAUUAUAGGUGAAUAAUGAUAGGAAUUAUACCAUUCUUAUAAUUUUCUUAUUGCCAUGCCCCAUUAGCCUAAAGCCCAAAGAUAUCAAACCAUAUUGCAGUGGCCAAAUAUAUUUUGGAUCAGCGGUGUGAUAUGUUGGCAUUAUUACUCAAAUAUACAUUAGAUUAUCUACUAAAGUUAUAAAUGUUGAAUUAAGAUUUCAUAUAAGCAACAUAAUGAAUUGCAUAGGAAAAAAAUGAUACAUACGUGGGGUUUUAUGUUCGGCACGUGGACUAAUAUGUAAUGUGAUGCUAACAAUGGACAUAAUUAAUUGGUCAUGACAUCCUUGAUUAUUGGUGGGGUGUGUAGUGAAGAAUGUUAGCUGGAAAAGAAAAAGAGAAUUGCAAUGGCGGGUCCUUUCACUAUUUGUGCACAAAGUUCUAUACUUAUAUUUAGUUGUUUACGUUUAUGCAUUCUAGUUAAAUUAUUAAGUUAUAUUGAAAUGAAAUGAUCUGAACUAUAAAGCAAAUAAAAGGCCUUUUUAUAAGGGAAUUCAUUUUGUAUAUACAAUGUAUUUUAUUAAGUUAUGAGUUAACGAAAUGUUUCCUUUUCACUUUAAUUAACUGCUUUCCUUACAAUUAUAUUUUAUUCUAUGAAAGUGCAAACCUUUAAAGUAUUUGAUUUAAAAUGGUCUAAUAUUUUAUUUGAAUUGUCGGAUAAGAAUUUAAGAUCCUUCCAAGAAUUGAAAUUUCAAGGUUGCAUCACCACGUAAAAGUGUAGAGAUUCUUAAAUUACUUUGAACCUAGUGAUGUUGGAAGUGAACCUGAAUCGCUGUUAGAUGCUAGAGGAUCAUCUGGUGGUAGCAACUUGAAUAGCCAGUCUAAUAUUUAGAUCUAGUUUUUUAUAUUAUGGACUACUUUAGGUUAUCAUGGUUUCUGAAUUUAUAAAGUGUUGUAAAAACUUAGUUUCUUUUGGUUAUAUAUUGUUGUGCUCUACUUGUUGUCAACUUGGACUUCUGAAUUAGCUUUUAUUGUUGUUGAUCUUUUGUAGUUAUGUUACUUUCAUUACUAUCAAUCCAUUGUCCAUUAUUAUUAUGGUUGGAGUAAAAAUUUGGCUUUAGAUUGUGCACUCAA